GUUAAUGACGGAUAGAGAUGUGAAUUCUUAACUCACAUGGAAAAGGACAGUAAAUCUGCUCACAAUUAUGCUGCAAAAUGUUAUGAUAAUCUGAAGAAUAAGCCAUGCCAUGUGGAACAAUUACUGGUGAAGCAAACAGAAGGGGAUAUCAAAAGGAAUAGGUUGCGGCUUAGACUAACCAUUGAUUCAAUACGG
Molecule: ribosomal RNA, 195 nt
Filed under: Triticum aestivum (bread wheat)
Lineage: Eukaryota; Viridiplantae; Streptophyta; Magnoliopsida; Poales; Poaceae
Description: partial small subunit ribosomal RNA
Source: RNAcentral